GGCACAGCCCUUCCCUGGAAGUCAGUGUGAGACCCAAAGCAGUCCUCGGCCCAUCCGUUGCCUGGUUUUGUGCCAGCAGCCAUGUGGAGACCCGGGCCCACGCCGAGGAGCGGCU
RNAcentral lists this small RNA (115 nucleotides) under Pongo abelii (Sumatran orangutan). RNAcentral's name for it is "processed transcript". The record is from RNAcentral. Lineage: Eukaryota; Metazoa; Chordata; Mammalia; Primates; Hominidae.